GACGAACGCUGGCGGCGUGCUUAACACAUGCAAGUCGAACGGAAAGGCCCUGCUUUUGUGGGGUGCUCGAGUGGCGAACGGGUGAGUAACACGUGAGUAACCUGCCCUUGACUUUGGGAUAACUUCAGGAAACUGGGGCUAAUACCGGAUAGGAGCUCCUGCUGCAUGGUGGGGGUUGGAAAGUUUCGGCGGUUGGGGAUGGACUCGCGGCUUAUCAGCUUGUUGGUGGGGUAGUGGCUUACCAAGGCUUUGACGGGUAGCCGGCCUGAGAGGGUGACCGGCCACAUUGGGACUGGGAUACGGCCCAGACUCCUACGGGAGGCAGCAGUGGGGAAUAUUGCACAAUGGGCGGAAGCCUGAUGCAGCAACGCCACGUGCGGGAUGACGGCCUUCGGGUUGUAAACCGCUUUCGCCUGUGACGAAGCGUGAGUGACGGUAAUGGGUAAAGAAGCACCGGCUAACUACGU
RNAcentral lists this ribosomal RNA (467 nucleotides) under uncultured bacterium. RNAcentral describes it as "partial 16S ribosomal RNA". It matches the Rfam family "Bacterial small subunit ribosomal RNA", at positions 28 to 506 of the family's 1533-position model. The record is from RNAcentral.